AGAGUUUGAUCAUGGCUCAGAACGAACGCUGGCGGCGUGCCUAACACAUGCAAGUCGAACGGGUCCAAGAUGCAGGACUCAGGAUGCAGGGGCGUGAUGCGGGACUUAACCGAAGGAACUCGCAAGACGUGCACUUUGUAUCUUGAGUCCUGUGUCUUGGAUUAGUGGCGGACGGGUGAGUAACACGUAGGUAACCAACCCUCAAGCGGGGGACAACCCAGGGAAACUUGGGCUAAUACCGCAUAAGACCACGGUCUGGGAUGAUUGUGGUAAAAGGAGCAAUUCACUUGAGGAUGGGCCUGCGGCCUAUCAGGUAGUUGGUGGGGUAACGGCCCACCAAGCCGAAGACGGGUAGCCGGACUGAGAGGUUGAACGGCCACACUGGAACUGAGACACGGUCCAGACUCCUACGAGAGGCAGCAGUGGGGAAUUUUGCGCAAUGGGGGAAACCCUGACGCAGCGACGCCGCGUGGAGGAUGAAGGUCUUCGGAUUGUAAACUCCUUUUGUCGGGGAAGAUAAUGACGGUACCCGAUGAAUAAGCCACGGCUAACUCUGUGCCAGCAGCCGCGGUAAGACAGAGGUGGCAAGCGUUGUUCGGAAUUACUGGGCUUAAAGGGCGCGUAGGCGGUGGUGUAAGUCUGGGGUGGAAGAUUAGGGCUUAACCCUAAAAUUGCCUUGGAAACUGCAUCACUUGAGUCAGCGAGGGGAUGGCGGAAUUCCAGGUGUAGCGGUGAAAUGCGUAGAUAUCUGGAGGAAGGCCGGUGGCGAAAGGCGGCCAUCUGGCGCUGAACUGACGCUGAGGCGCGAUAGCGUGGGGAGCAAACAGGAUUAGAUACCCUGGUAGUCCACGCCCUAAACGGUGGGUACUAGUGUAGGGCUCGCAAGGGUUCUGUGCCGUAGGGAACCAUUAAGUACCCCGCCUGGGGAGUACGGCCGCAAGGUGAAACUCAAAGGAAUUGACGGAUC
Molecule: ribosomal RNA, 967 nt
Filed under: uncultured bacterium
Lineage: Bacteria
Description: bacterial SSU rRNA
Rfam family: Bacterial small subunit ribosomal RNA
Source: RNAcentral